ACUCCUACGGGAGGCAGCAGUGGGGAAUAUUGCACAAGUGGGCGCAAGCCUGAUGCAGCCAUGCCGCGUGUGUGAAGAAGGCCUUCGGUUGUAAAGACACUUUCUAGUCGUGAGGAAGGUAGUGUAGUUAAUAGCUGCAUUAUUUGUACGUUAGCGACAGAAGAAGCACCGGCUAACUCCGUGCCAGCAGCCGCGGUAAUACGGAGGGUGCGAGCGUUAAUCGGAAUUACUGGGCGUAAAGCGCAUGCAGGUGGUUUGUUAAGUCAGAUGUGAAAGCCCGGGGCUCAACCUCGGAAUAGCAUUUGAAACUGGCAGGACUAGAGUACUGUAGAGGGGGUAGGAAUUUCAGGUGUAGCGGUGAAAUGCGUAGAGAUCUGAAGGAAUACCGGUGGCGAAGGCGGCCCCCCUGGACAGAUACUGACACUCAGAUGCGAAAGCGUGGGGAGCAAACAGGAUUAGAUACCCUGGUAGCGACUGAUAGUCGUGGGGAAC
Molecule: ribosomal RNA, 492 nt
Filed under: uncultured bacterium
Lineage: Bacteria
Description: bacterial SSU rRNA
Rfam family: Bacterial small subunit ribosomal RNA
Source: RNAcentral